RNAcentral lists this ribosomal RNA (253 nucleotides) under uncultured Turicibacter sp. Its description in RNAcentral is "partial 16S ribosomal RNA". It matches the Rfam family "Bacterial small subunit ribosomal RNA", at positions 524 to 776 of the family's 1533-position model. The record is from RNAcentral. Lineage: Bacteria; Bacillati; Bacillota; Erysipelotrichia; Erysipelotrichales; Turicibacteraceae.
UACGUAGGUGGCAAGCGUUAUCCGGAAUUAUUGGGCGUAAAGAGCGCGCAGGUGGUUAAUUAAGUCUGAUGUGAAAGCCCACGGCUUAACCGUGGAGGGUCAUUGGAAACUGGUUGACUUGAGUGCAGAAGAGGGAAGUGGAAUUCCAUGUGUAGCGGUGAAAUGCGUAGAUAUCAGGGGGAACACCGGCGGCGAAGGCGGCUUACUGGACUGUAACUGACGUUGAGGCUCGAAGGCGUGGGGAGCAAACAGG